GCCGUUGGUAUACCAUUCUUGGGUGGAGUCACACCUACAACCACAACUUCCCAAAUAGAAGGGUAAAGCCCGUAGAGAUGCAUUUUCAUGUCGUAUGACCACUUGGGAUAAUCUGUCCCAUCAAAGUAAGGAGGUUUUCCCAAGUGGACGGAUUGAAAUUGUGAAAAAGGAUAUUGAGAUGAUGCAUUUGAGUAGUUAG
This 199-nucleotide long non-coding RNA is filed under the name Setaria italica (foxtail millet). Its description in RNAcentral is "long non-coding RNA (SITA_LNC003299)". The record is from RNAcentral. Lineage: Eukaryota; Viridiplantae; Streptophyta; Magnoliopsida; Poales; Poaceae.